Molecule: unclassified non-coding RNA, 232 nt
Filed under: uncultured Basidiomycota
Lineage: Eukaryota; Fungi; Basidiomycota
Description: sequence contains ITS1
Source: RNAcentral
UUGAAACAAAACUUGAUCUGGUUGCUGCUGGCUUUCACAAAGCAUGUGCACACCUGAUUGAUUUUUUAACCACCUGUGCAUCUUAUGUAGAUCUGAAACUUGUUCGAGACAAACUUCUCGGUUGGAGAAAUUGCUUUACAGCUUUUCUUGUACAUUUCAGGUCUAUGUUUUUCUACAUCAUCUCAAAUCAUGUGUCAGAAUGUAUCUUUUGAAAUAAAAAAUAAAAAUAAAA